AGCGCUCCGGGCGCUGGACCGUACUUGGGACUCUAGAGGGCUGCGUCCGGACAGAGAAGCUGGGUGGCGAUCUGUGGGUCACUCCUGGAGGUGUCUCUACCCGGAGCUGGAGAAAUGGGCUCCAAGGCCAGCUUCUCGGACGAGCGCCAGCCUGAGAUGGAAGUUUGCUAGCGCUCUAGACACCGCGCUGACCCGGAGCCGAAUCUUUAUCUUGGCUGGAAAGGCUGAUUUCGACCGCCAAGCGCCAGUCCAACGUGGGCCAGAGAAACCGAGACCUCCUUCACUGUGCUAGGGUCUUCCUGAUGCUCCUUGUGUCUUUGGAAAAAGAUGCUUGAAGAUUUCAAUCAGCCUCCUGGACAGAAUGGUGCUCCCAGCUAGCGCCUAGCUCUGGCCAGGUCAGCUCCAGGUGUUCCUAGGAGAAAGAAUACUGCUCCUGAGACCCACCAAAGACAAGCCCGCUGGACACCGUCCACCAGCAGGGGAAUUCCCUCUAGUGCCCAUAGCUCCUGCCCCAGGAGACACUGCUUCCUUCCAGGCAGAGAAUUUACCUAGGCCUCAAAGGAUGGCUGUCCCAGCUUCCUUAUUCACAUUCCUGCCUUGGCCUUUGAGACCUGCCAGCACAGGAGAUACCCCACCACCACCCAUUCCCUGCCUUUAUUGGUGAGUUGCUAUCUACAGAGUUGCUCUGCAGUGGCCUCUGCUGAGCAUCCUGAGAGCACAGAGCUGUAACACCUCUUGAUGGUCCCUUAUGUAGGCAACCCGAAGUCUACCAAGAAUGUAGGUCUGUAGCACUCCCCGUCUCUCAGUCAGUUGAUGCCCAUUUCUACUUUCCUGUUAAAGUUUGUGCUUUCCCAUUACAAUUUCUCCCACGUGGGAAAAAGGUUCCCUUUGUUUUUCUUUUACUGUCUGUCCACUCCAUUUUUAGUGCAAGACAGGAACCCAAGAAAGAAAUAUCAACUGUCUCAAUAUGAAAGGACUACCUGGCCUAGCACAUUCUACCAACAGAAGCAAGAAAUAAAAAACAUUUGCCAAAACAAGAUAAAGAAGCAGGUCACAGUGACAUAAAGUCUCAACAAAUGCGGGUGAAAUGAGAGGAUCACUGUGUUCUUUAAAAUUCCAGAUUUGUGUGUAAGGCUGGAAACUUGUUUACUUCUGUGUUUUAUUGGAUGCAACCUAAAAGAAUU
RNAcentral lists this long non-coding RNA (1184 nucleotides) under Cricetulus griseus (Chinese hamster). RNAcentral's name for it is "lncRNA (ENSCGRG00015035067.1)". Lineage: Eukaryota; Metazoa; Chordata; Mammalia; Rodentia; Cricetidae. The record is from RNAcentral.